UACGGAGGGUGCGAGCGUUGUCCGGAAUCACUGGGCGUAAAGGGCGCGUAGGCGGCCUGAUAAGUAGGGGGUGAAAUCCUGCGGCUUAACCGCAGGGCUGCCUUCUAAACUGUCAGGCUAGAGCACAGUAGAGGCAGGUGGAAUUCCCGGUGUAGCGGUGAAAUGCGUAGAUAUUGGGAGGAACACCGGUGGCGAAGGCGGCUACCUGGACCGGUACUGACGCUGAGGCGCGAAAGCUAGGGUAGCAAACAGG
Molecule: ribosomal RNA, 253 nt
Filed under: uncultured bacterium
Lineage: Bacteria
Description: partial 16S ribosomal RNA
Rfam family: Bacterial small subunit ribosomal RNA
Source: RNAcentral